CUAGGAUAACUCCGGGAAACCGGGGCUAAUACUGGAUAACUUUUCUCUCCGCAUGGAGGGAGAUUGAAAGAUGGCUUCGGCUAUCACCUACAGAUGGACCCGCGGCGCAUUAGCUAGUUGGUGAGGUAACGGCUCACCAAGGCAACGAUGCGUAGCCGACCUGAGAGGGUGAUCGGCCACAUUGGGACUGAGACACGGCCCAAACUCCUACGGGAGGCAGCAGUAGGGAAUCUUCCGCAAUGGACGAAAGUCUGACGGAGCAACGCCGCGUGAGUGAAGAAGGUCUUCGGAUCGUAAAACUCUGUUGUUAGGGAAGAACAAGUAUCGUUCGAAUAGGGCGGUACCUUGACGGUACCUAACCAGAAAGCCACGGCUAACUACGUGCCAGCAGCCGCGGUAAUACGUAGGUGGCAAGCGUUGUCCGGAAUUAUUGGGCGUAAAGCGCGCGCAGGCGGUCUUUUAAGUCUGAUGUGAAAGCCCACGGC
This 485-nucleotide ribosomal RNA is filed under the name uncultured Bacillus sp. Its description in RNAcentral is "bacterial SSU rRNA". It matches the Rfam family "Bacterial small subunit ribosomal RNA", at positions 138 to 608 of the family's 1533-position model. The record is from RNAcentral. Lineage: Bacteria; Bacillati; Bacillota; Bacilli; Caryophanales; Bacillaceae.